AUGGGAUCCAUGGGAUGGGAUGGGACGGGAAGGGAUUCAUGGGAUGGGGAGGGGAGGGGGUGGGAUCCAUGUGAUCCACAGGAUGGGAAUGGGAUUGAUGGGAUGGGAUGGGGAUGGAAUCCACGGGAUGGGAAUGGGAUGGGGAUGGGGAUGGGAUCCAUGGGAUGGGGUGGAGUCCAUGUGAUCCACGGGAUGGGAACGGGAUCAGUGGGAUGGGGUGGGAUCCAUGGGAUGGGAUCUAUGGGAUGGAGUGGGAUGGGGUGGGGAUGGGAUGGGGUGGGAUCCAUGGGAUCCACGGAAUGGGAGUGGGAUCAGUGGGAUGGGAAUGGGAUCCAUGGGAUGGGGAGGGGGUGGGAUCCAUGUGAUCCACAGGAUGGGAAUGGGAUCGAUGGGAUGGGAUGGAAUCCAUGGGAUGGGGAUGGGGAUGGAGAUGGGGUGGGAUGGGGAUGGGAUCCAUGGGAAUGGAAUGGGAAUGGAAUGGGAAUGUGGUGGGAUGGGAUCCAUGGGAUCAGAAUGGGAUGGGGAUGGGAUCCACGGGAUGGGAGUGGGGUGAUAUGGGGAUGGGGUUGGGGUGUCCCUGUCCCAAUUCCAACUUGUCCCCAUUCCAGGUGGAUUUUGUUGCUUCCAGACUUUGCCGAGCACUCCAGGGGUAUCCACACCCCCCACAUUCCCUGCGGGGGAAUUCCAUGGAUCCCAGAAAGGCUGGAAAGGGCUGGCAGGGAUGAAACCCCGAGCUCACACAGCUCCCAGCCCAGGAACAGUGAUCCCACCAGCACAAAACCGACGGGGAAAUUAAAAAUAGCACCUCCGUCAGCGGCAGGGAGGGCUCGGCCUCCCAACCCUCCCCACCUAAAUCCGUAUUUUUAUCCGGCCUGGGAGCGACCCAAAUUUCAGCCGCAGCCCCAAAUGCCAGCCACGGGUCAGGGCACGCCGGGCUGGCCUGGGAACGGGCUGGGAGCCCGGAAUGCAGCUCCGGGCUGGAGCUGGGAAGGCAGAGGGAGGAAAAGGCUGGAGGAGCCUCCGGAGCCGGGGAUUCCUCCCGGUGAGUCCGCAGGUGAGCGGCGCCCGGCCCUGCCCCGGCAGCAGAGAUAA
Molecule: long non-coding RNA, 1092 nt
Filed under: Parus major (Great Tit)
Lineage: Eukaryota; Metazoa; Chordata; Aves; Passeriformes; Paridae
Description: lncRNA (ENSPMJG00000017519.1)
Source: RNAcentral